This 251-nucleotide unclassified non-coding RNA is filed under the name Hevea brasiliensis (rubber tree). The record is from RNAcentral. Lineage: Eukaryota; Viridiplantae; Streptophyta; Magnoliopsida; Malpighiales; Euphorbiaceae.
AAGGAAUCCACGCAAGCACCUCCCGUAAGACCAAGGGCUUUCACAACGGUAGGAUCAUGAGGACCCUGGAGGACUCCCAUUCGACCAACUAUGAAGUUGCCUUCAUGGUUCCUCAGAAUAGCACCACAACCCAUACAACUUUCAUGAGCAAAAUUAGCAGCGUCUAUGUUGCAGUUAAAAACCCCUUCAGGAGGCCGAGACCAGCCAUGGAUGAAGCUGCUGGCUGAAGAUUCCCUAUUGGGAUACUGAUG